Long non-coding RNA from Chelonia mydas (Green sea turtle), 1797 nucleotides. RefSeq lists it as uncharacterized. The transcript has 3 exons. NCBI's taxonomy places the organism in Eukaryota, Metazoa, Chordata, Testudines, Cheloniidae. The record is from RefSeq and is a predicted model, not a curated record.
GAGAGCGCGGGGAGCCGGGUGGGAGAGGGGAAGGGGGCCGCACAGCCAGCGGUGCCCGGGGGUCGACGCAGAUGAGGGGCGCAGAGCGGCUACUAAAGAGCUGCAGGGCCAAGCAACGCUCCAGCCUCCAGCAGCAGCCGGCCAGCUGCGCAGCCCAAAUCGGGGGCCACCCUUUCCGCCACCACACCUCCGCCCUGCGGAGAAAGAGAGGGCGGGAGCUCUCCCAACCGCAUGGGGCUCAGCCCAGGAGCUGCUGGACAGAAGGCAGGUGACCCUCCGGAGAGGACCCACCUGAUGGGGGACUGCAUGGCUGAGCUGUGGGAUGAGAAGCCCGUGCUGGACAUGAGAUGUGGUGUCACAUCUGAGGACUCCGCAAAGGCCCUUUCGGUUACCGGGAGGCACCAUAGGGUGUUCGUUCAGUCAGACACCGCAGAUAGAUUCGCCAUUCAGAAAAAGAGAGAUCCAGAGAGGCCUUGGAGGGACUGGUGUAAAACACUCUGAAAAAGGAGAAAGAGGAAGACAAAUGGUGGGGACCGGUAGUGGGCCAAGCAGGGGGUUGGGCUUUGCCAGGCUAAACCCCAAAUGUCAGGAAUGGGCAGGUUCUGUAUUCUGGGCAGUAUUCUGUGUUCUCAUAGCUUAUCUGUGAUUUCCCCCUCAAAAUGUAACAUGCCAAAGCCACUACCCGUGCACUUUCCCACCUACAUCACCGACUGGAAUGGUGCCCAAGACAGAAGUGGGCAGAAGCCCUUACUAGUUGAUGUGUAAUGAGCAUGGUGGUUCUCAGGCCAGGUCCUCUUGGUCUGGGAAUCAGAGAACUGGCUCUAAUUGCAAUCCCAGCAGAGGGGCCAAAGGGGGUGUGGACCUGAUCACCCCUAGAAGCGGUCCCUAAAGCGCCGCUCCACAAAGCAGCAUGGCGGGAGCAUGCUCUGUGGCCCACGCUGUGCCUGCUCUGUGGAGAGGGAGGACUUUGGAUCACCUUUCACAUGCACUAAACUCACUGAAUAGAGAGAGAUUUCUGUUAAAAAGCAGCUCAGUAGGUCACUGGAUUUCGCUCAGCCGACAGCGGCGAGUGGGAUCUAAGCCGGCACGUGGAGGAGCCUCACCUUUGCCAUGCUGGCUUGGCAGGGGAGCCGAACUCCAUUCUGCAGGGCCGCAUGGGCUCCAGCCCCCUUGCAGCGGCAUGCGGGGCAAGGCUAUAAUAAUCAUUCCAUUAAGCAAAGAAAAAUACAAUCAGCCCACGCUACCCAGUGGGAUGGGAGAACUAAACAGCUCUGUCAAGGACUGGGAAAGCAGCUGAUGUAACUGCCGGCCUGGCUGGCUGAGAAAGGAGAAAGCAAGCACAAAAGGCAGAAUGGAAAUGGAAGGGGGACAGUGUCAUCUUCCAAAGGAUCUGUCCUCUCCCCCGCAGUUAUGCUAAGAGGGCAUUUUGAGAUGCCCUGUUGCAUGGGCUCUUAGAGGGGAGCAGGCAGCACAUCAGGUAUUUGUAGUCACCAAACUGCCUGGCUCGUGAGUCCUGGGAGUUUCCAAACCUGCCUCCACAUCGGCUCCUCGCACUCCCCCAGAGAUCACAGGCAGGAGCCAAGGGCAGAAGCGGGACAAGCUCCGUGCAACGUUUUCGAUCCACAAAAAAAGCGAUAACUGGGGGGGUUUCGAGGACGUGCUGGGUAGCGUGUCAGCAGGGGAAGUGAGUGAAAAUUUUCAGCUGAAACUUUUUUCAGUGAAAAAUGCAGGUUUGACAAACCAGAAAAAUGUACCAAAUUCAUGUCAGUUUCACGGAAUUGUGUUCGUCGAAAAUCA